UCCAGGCCGAGCUGUGAGAGCCACCGCCCUUCUGGAAAGUUCGGCGCGGUUUGUGGCGCGGCGAGGACCUGCAGAGCCGUGAACCCGGCGCUGGCCGUGAGGAAGGAGGUGGAAGUGCUCCUGGCUGCAGGGAAGCGUGCUGAAGUUGAUGGCGUGGUCAGGUGCAGCAGUGGCAGAGCUUAGCAGGUCUUUCAGAAUACAGUCUUUUCACUUCUCUUUCUCCGAAGAAAGCAAGGCAGGACGAAACGUGAAGCAUGUGAAAAAAAAACCAGGGUAUUACUAGAAGCAGGACGGGUGACGCUGGCUGGUCUUUUGAUCUCCCGGUGCAGGGAGCUGAGCAGCUGCUCACGGUGGCUCUGAUUUCCUGAAGAAUUGUGAUGUUAGCUGGAAAGUGGUGGAAAAGAAAACAGUUUCUAUUGGGGUGUAUGGAAACGGGGUUUUGUAGGGUUAAAAGACAUGAAACUGGAAUGAAAUGUUUUUGUUAUUGUUACUUUUUCCCUUUCCGUAUUAAUUUCCUAUUGAUAUAGGACUUCAUGUAAAUGCAGCUUUUUUAACUGAAGAUUUGAUUUCUUUCCUGUAUCCGAACUGUAUAUAUAAUGAUACAGAAUAGAGAAGAACUGAGAAACCUUUUUUGUCUGUCUUCACCAGAGCAUUUGAUUCAGAAUAUAACCAAAAAUACAAUGCUGAAUAUAUUUUUAUUUAAAAUACUUCUGGAUGCAGAAAUGCCAAGAGUUAAUUAAAGCAGGUAUAGAGUGCUGAAAAAUAUUUUCUUUCUGAAAUCAUAACCAUGAAUUAAACUAAAUGCAUAAUUAGGAAUCAGAGUUAGACCAUACAGCCAAAAGGCAGAAAAAGGUUUCUAAUUAUCUUGUGAUUUAAAUACGUUUUUCAUUCAAAGAAAGCCUAAAAAUAGCCUCUCUUACAGCCUGAAGUUUUGCAGAGCCCUGUGGUAAUGCAGUGUACCUCUAAUAAAUCUGUCCUCCUGUGUUGCAAAGAUCUCCAAGUGCUCAUCUGAGAAGCUUGCUGUCUGUGUUUCUCCCUGAGCUGGAACCACUGGGGCUCUGUGCUGUAGUUUUGGAUGGCUGAUAGUGCUGUGUUUAGUCCAAAAACAUUACUGUGUUUUUUAUCCUUGUGAUGGGACUCUGCUGUUGGUGGUUUACUUAAAACAAAGGCAGAUGCUGGCUGUGGUGCUGGCUGGCCAGCUGAAGCUAUCUGGGGUAUUUCAAGUAUUUCUGGGUUUUCACUGGCAAGGAUAAAAACAUCUGUAGCUGUCUGUCCUUAAAGCUGCUGCUUCUGGCUCAGCUAUUCCUCUUGGAAUUCCCAGGGUGUUUGGGAAUGCUGGCAUUGAGGGCAUGCAGCAAUGCCAUCAUUGGCUGUUUCAGACCCCGGUCCUUGUAGUAUGAGGUACUGCAGUGGAUGUUAUCUUUGCUAGAAAUAAAGUUAAACAUCAACACAGAGAAAACAGAAUCAGGGUACAGAAAGGCUGCGUGUCUGUUUCAUUACAGGAUAUGCAUGUCUUCGUUCUGCAGAAACUUUUCAUCCAUUUAAUCAGUGCUUCAGUAUAUCCUGAGGGCCAUUCUUUCCUCUAAAAAGUUGAUUUUAUUCCACUAAAAAAGCUGCAGUUAAGGCUGCCCCGCGCUUUGGGAGAGACAGCAUUUGGUUCACACUGCAACCUCUCAGCACGGCUUAAGCUCAGUGUGGAAGGAACUGCAGAACUCCCCUUUGAGUUCCAGUCCUGCGUGUGAGUGGUGGUUUUGUUGUAUCCCCACUGGAUGCACUUAAAUCUCCUUAAACCCCAGCUUAAAAAUGAAUUCUAAAUCAUUAAACUCCUUUAUGAGCAUUUAGAAGGGAGUUUGGACAGGCUGAGCUGAACGGAUCAUAAAGGAUUGCUGCUGGAGAGGUGUGGGUUGUGCCGGGGCUCAGGCUGUAAUAUAAGACCACAUUCCUUUCCUGUGAGCUUUACUGUAUGACUGCUGCCAAGUCACAAGAGUCCAUAAAGGCACUUGCAAGCUGAUAGACAGUUAAAUCCAUGGAGAGCAUCUGGAGGGAAGCAGGCUGCUGGACGGGAAGGAGCGUCCUCUCCAUUCAGCGUGUGAAAGUCCAUUGCUUGCAAGCAUUUGUGUCUGGUAUCUGACAUCCCUGAGCUAGGUCUUGAAAACAACUGCUCUUUUCAGGAAACCCAUAUAACCCACAGUGAGGUGAUGAAGAUCAUUCAUUUUGGUUGUUUUCCUAUUUAAAAAAUCCAACAAAACUAUUAUACAGAGCAAGCAGACGCCAAGCUUGGUAAUCUGGCUUUGUAACACUUGUUCUUCUGUUUUCUCUCAGAGAAAGAGUGUUCUCUUUAUUUCAUUCUAGCUUCUGGCUUCCGUCACCGAAAGCACCAGGGCGCCCUGCACCACAGCAGUGCCUGGGAGCACCACGUCGUGCUGCUGGGCUCUGCAGCCUGCAGGGCCAGCAUGGGCAGCCCUGCUCAGCAUUCCCUUUUCUUGCUUGUCCCGGCUGUAGAGGGGUGAGGAACACACAGAAGUAAGAGCAGGAGGCAGUUUCUGGAAUCACAGAGAAAGUGCUGCCUGCAGUUCUCUUUGUACGUUUUCCAUGUGAUGACACAAAUGUUCAGUUUUUUUUCUCUUGCUUUCAGACUGCAAUUUCAGUAACUUAUGUCUUUCCUCUCCUGGGAAGUUGAACGAAGAUGUAAAUGAUACAUAAACCCAUUGAUGCCACAUAUAAGUCCAGGAGUACAUAUUUAAUAGCACUCCCUAAAGCCAGCUGAGAAGCAGCUGUGUUCCUACGUGUUCCGUACAGCUCAUCUUUGUCUCCAUGGACGCCCAGUGGAGUGCCAUGCUAACUUCCAAGUGCUUGCAAGGCCUUUGUAAAGGCAGGGGAGCCUCUGGGCAGGGCUGUUCCCAGCUUGGUACAGCACAGGCUGUCAGUGCUGGGCACUUCGCAGCACGCGAUGCUCGGCCUGCUGCUGGGACGGCCCUGUGACUCCAUGUUUUUCCUGAGUGACUUGAAAAGUAUUUAAACUCACUGCUAACAUCCAUAGAACAGCUUGUUCCCCAGAGCAGCUCUGCUGGGUAGAGUUUCUGCUUUGGGACCGAAAUACCCGUUUCAAGGUCGCAGUCGCCUUUAGGUUGAUUUCUGUAUAAACUAGUCUGAUUUUGAGACCAACUGAAAAGCAGAAGUAAUAUUUUGUCUAAGGAGACUCAUGUCAUAGAUAAAGAUAAUCUCAAAGGGCUGCUCAGGCUGAGUGCCUUAGCUGUUCUCCCUCAGACAGAGGCCUUUGGCAAGGCAUCACUUUGUCUGUCCGUAUCUUUUUCCCCCUCUUUUUAAAUUCAGACUUCUUCUUUUGGGAUUCACUUCCUGGCUUGGGAAGUGUCUCUCUGUCCUCAUCUUUUUUUCUUGUUAGUCAGUGUUGUACGAAUUCUCACACAUCUCUGCUUCUGAUAUGCUUGUUUAAGAUGAAGGUGUUUCUUUACUUUCUUGCCAUACAGGCUUCUACACACCCCUUCUCCUUUUUUUCUUCCUCACUCCUGCACCUGUCAGUUCUUGAAUUCCAGUGCCAGAACCUCCGUUUGCAGACUCUGCAAUAAAUGUGCUUUGUAAACUGUGCGUGUGCAAUACCUUGCAGUACUGAGCCCCGUGCAAGCACACAGCUGUGUCAGUGUGCUGGGGUUCAGGUGUGCUCCUUUGCUGCAGGAGGAAGCACUCUGGUGUGUUACUGUAGGAAAUGCAGUGCUGGCUCAGUGUCAGAAAAGAAACCCAGAUCCUCUGCCAUGGUGUUCACUAAUCUGAGGCCCUCAGAAAGGAGCUCUGCGUGGACAGCUGGAGAUGUGCUUUGUAGAGGAGAGAGAGUAAGCUGAAGAGAACUCUGAUGUUGCUGGUUCUGUUUCCUAUUGCACCAGUGAUGCAAGAGAUGUAGCAGAAGCGGGGCUGGAUUGUGUGCUUCGCUGAGCAAUCCUUAAUAUAAUGACUUCUGGACUACUUCCAAAAUUACCUGAAUGAGAUAGGCUACAAAAAAAGAAAUCAAAAAAUCAAACAUGGGAGAAGAAAAAUACAACAAUACAACAGUACCAGGGAAUCCCAAAUUUUUGUUUGGUAUCCAUUGUCUGACACUGGCUUACACUUCAUUCUGCAAAAGUCACUCUAGAUACUUUUUUUUUUUUUUUUCUUUCUGCUGAAAAACGAUGCUCAGUGCUGAUAGGAAAAACCAGCAGACGGAGGCAGGGUUGGAAUACAAAAGAUGUAGAUGUAGUUCACUGCCAUGUCAGGAGGCUUCCUCAUUGCCCUGGACAUGUGCUUGAUGUGUUUGGAACCCAGCAAUAAAGUGGGAAGAAUUGCAGAGGGCAGUGACAGAGCUGGAGGUCACCAAGUAGGAAGACAAGGACUCUGAAGAGAUGCUUGAGUUGUGUUUGCAGUCACUGUGCUUUUAGCAGAGAAUUGCUGUAUCUGAGUGCUGAGAUGUGCUUUGGGGUUUUGUGGACUUGUGUUUCGUGUGUAUAUGCACAUAAAGAUGUGUGUAGCUGGUCAACAUUUAUUUUGGUAGAGCUGUAUGGAUUCUUAUGCAUUGCAUAUUUAAUUGCAUUCACUAUUAAUAGGAUCCAAUCUUAAUUAAUAUAAGGUUCUUUUAGAGAAGCAAAUGAGAACAAUUUCAAGAUCUACUGAAGAAGAAAGAUAAUGAGUUCCAAAAACGAUGGUGUAGUGGAUGAGAAAAUGGAUUUAACAAAAGUUGGAUCUGGGAUGUGGCCUUUCUUUUUAAGGAUCUUGCAGGAAACAGAGCUGUAAAGGGACUUUGAAGCUCUGUACGGUAGGUUAGGAAAUAAGCCAUAGCCAAGGUGAUGGAGGAGCAAAGGGCUCAGAUAACUUUUAUCAUACUGUUUCCUAAUGAGAAGAUCACUCAAUUGAUGGCUAGAAAGUAAGAACAGAAAUCUGACUGAAAACGAGUUAGACUUGAGCUUAAUGAAGCUGUACUGCUGAAUUUCAGCACGCAUCAACAGAUCGAAUCCUGACGGCUCAAAUGGAUUUGAGUUAACUGGCAGGUUCAGGGCUGAACCUCAUAGCUGGAAAGGAAAAUGCCAUUUUUUGCAGCAUGUUUAGAUAAGGAAUGACCUUAUGAGUGCUGAUACUGACCAAAAAGGGAUGAACUCCUUACGUGGCUUGGAGAGCUUAUUGUGCAUUGUACAAUGCCAUGGAAAAGAACUGGUGAAAUGAGAGAGCAGGUUCUCAUGUAGCUCCCCCGGGCAUGCAGUCAAACUUACAGUUAGUCAGGUGCAAUUAGUCAUGGGCAGCCAAAAUCAUGGCCUUCAGUACAGAACUCCUGCAGCCUUUCAUGGAGCCAGGACCUCACCCGUUACACGUGUUGAUGCAUAGUUUCCACUGGAGAAACCUCAGCCAAGAAGCUCAGUGAAGCGUGGAGUCUGAAAGUAGAGUACAAAUGGCAAACCUGAAUUUAAGGAGGAGAGGCAUACUUCAGUGUCACCUCGCUAGAGAAAAACAGAUAGAAGCUUCCAUGCCUCACACUCUGCUUCUCCUCAUUUUCUGAUUCUGUUGCUAUGGCAUUCAUCACAUUCCAGUGUUUUUCAUGCAGCAAAGGGACAGCGUGGUGCAUCACUCUGAGUUCUUGGCUGUCUGGGUGCCUGGGUCAGCUGCAGCAUUUCUGACAGUCAGCCCAAUUUAGGGAAGAAAUGUUAGCUCCUUGGAAACAUGCCUGCAGUAAUGACUGCCCCUUCCCUGUCACUUAUUCAGGCGUUGUCUGGGCAAUGUGCAGGCAAAGAAGGAAAAAAAGAAGAAAAUAGCAUCCUUCAGCUUCAGAGACGUGGUUGUGCAGGCUCCCAAGCUUUCUGUCGUUUCUAGUAGCAACCACAAAAUAUCUUCAGCUGUGGCAAGCAUUGCUUCAGUCCUUUUGUUUGGCAGUGUUUGAAGCACCUUAUCUUCCUGCUAGGCUCUUUAAAUAGCAAUAUCUUCUGAACUAUUUGUCUUCAGUUAAAGGAGUUUGUGUCUGCGUUUUUCAGACCGUUCUCCUAUGGAAAGGGCAUUGUUAGCAGUAAUGAGAUGAAAUUCACUUUCAGACAUGUAAAUGGAAUAUUAAAACUGGAAAAAUACCAUAUAGAAAUAAGUUGGAGAUGGGUGGACUCGAUUUUUGAUUUCACAGUUCUCUUUUAUGAUUCUGAUUCACUGCACGUUGUGUGCGCAGACAUGCAGGUAGGUGUGAAUUUUGGAAAGUUUGAUAACCUUUAGUAGAAAUAACCCACCUGAGCAGCAGACCUUGUCACCCAGGGCCUCGUUAUCUCCAUUGAAGUCCCUGCAAGCUUUACUAGCGAAAGUGUCGUAGAUACAAAACUUGUUAGAAAAUUAAAAGUAACCAGAAAGGAGUUCAAACAACUCUACUGAAGUAAGACAGGGCUUCCAUAUCUCAAUUUAAAAUCCCCUCCCAUCCCAGACUCGAUCAGGAUACUGAAAUCUCAGGUUCUCCCUGCUGGAAGAUUCCCGGGCACCUCAGUGAAUGGCGGGCGCCAGGCAGCUGCUGGAGGUGGUCUCUGGAUCUGCUUCUGAUGCAGCAAAUCAGGAUCUUGCUUUAGAUGUGAUGCUGCAUACAAUGAAAGCACCAGUUACUGCUGUGUCCCAUUAACUUACGCGGACACUGCCUGAAGGACCCCAAAGGCACACUGAUGGCGUUGGAGCGACUCGCAGUCUGUUGCUUCUAGACAGUGUGCACCACUGGCUGUUACUGGGAGCUGCUGCGAGGCAAGGGAUAGGGAGAGAAGAACAUUGCAGUGAAACGUUUUUCAUACUCAGUGGCUAAAACAAAGGCAGUCAGAACACCAGCAUUGACAGAUUCUUUUUUCCUACUGUACAAUCUGUUUUUUUCUCCUGAAAGCUUUUUAAUUAAUGCUACAGAGCAUUAACUUUUGCUGAUUAUUGCAACAACAGCAAAAACAACUAAGAGGGAAAUGGGAAGAACCAAGGAACAUACCUCGUGCUGAUUGAUUUAUAGUUACAAUUCAGCUGAACAACAGCUGUAGUUGUGCUGAAAAGAAAGGGCAGGGGGGCAGAAGGGGGAGGCUGUGUCCCAUCCUGGUGGCUGUGAGCACAGAGGCCUGUGCCUUCAGAUUGUGUCAGUGUAAGUUAAUGGGAUGCAGCAGAGCGCAGAGGCAGAGCAGCCUCUCCAGCACAGCCCUCGUGGCAAGAGGCAUCACUGCCUUGUUGGGUUCGCAUCCCUGCCACAGAGGGGAAAACAGCAGAAGGUGAAGAAACUCACGGGUGACCGGGCUGCAUCCAGGUGUC
Molecule: non-coding RNA, 7278 nt
Organism: Phasianus colchicus (ring-necked pheasant)
Lineage: Eukaryota; Metazoa; Chordata; Aves; Galliformes; Phasianidae
Source: RefSeq, a predicted model, not a curated record